AGUGAACGCUGGCGGUAGGCCUAACACAUGCAAGUCGAACGGCAGCACAGUAAGAGCUUGCUCUUACGGGUGGCGAGUGGCGGACGGGUGCGGAAUACAUCGGAAUCUACUUUUUCGUGGGGGCUAACGUAGGGAAACUUACGCUAAUACCGCAUACGACCUACGGGUGAAAGCAGGGGAUCUUCGGACCUUGCGCGAUCGAAUGAGCCGAUGUCGGAUUAGCUAGUUGGCGGGGUAAAGGCCCACCAAGGCGACGAUCCGUAGCUGGUCUGAGAGGAUGAUCAGCCACACUGGAACUGAGACACGGUCCAGACUCCUACGGGAGGCAGCAGUGGGGAAUAUUGGACAAUGGGCGCAAGCCUGAUCCAGCCAUACCGCGUGGGUGAAGAAGGCCUUCGGGUUGUAAAGCCCUUUUGUUGGGAAAGAAAAGCAGCAGGUUAAUACCCCGCUGUUCUGACGGUACCCAAAGAAUAAGCACCGGCUAACUUCGUG
This 492-nucleotide ribosomal RNA is filed under the name uncultured bacterium. RNAcentral describes it as "partial 16S ribosomal RNA". It matches the Rfam family "Bacterial small subunit ribosomal RNA", at positions 29 to 507 of the family's 1533-position model. The record is from RNAcentral.